RNAcentral lists this microRNA precursor (182 nucleotides) under Oryza glumipatula. RNAcentral's name for it is "MIR812 microRNA precursor family". It matches the Rfam family "MIR812 microRNA precursor family", at positions 27 to 205 of the family's 205-position model. The record is from Rfam by way of RNAcentral. Lineage: Eukaryota; Viridiplantae; Streptophyta; Magnoliopsida; Poales; Poaceae.
AAUAAAUACAGUUUUACACUAUUUAUAUCUUUUUUUUACGAUUAGUAUUUUUAUUGUUGUUAGAUGAUAAAAUAUGAAUAGUACUUUAUGUCUGACUAAUUUUUUUAACUUUUUUUUCAUAAUUUUUUCAAAUAAGAUGGAGGGUCAAACGUUGGACACGGAUAUUCACGGCUGCACUUAAU